Molecule: ribosomal RNA, 173 nt
Filed under: uncultured bacterium
Lineage: Bacteria
Description: partial 16S ribosomal RNA
Rfam family: Bacterial small subunit ribosomal RNA
Source: RNAcentral
CUCCUACGGGAGGCAGCAGUGGGGAAUUUUGCGCAAUGGGGGAAACCCUGACGCAGCAACGCCGCGUGGAGGAUGAAGCCCCUUGGGGCGUAAACUCCUUUCGAUCGGGACGAUUAUGACGGUACCGGAAGAAGAAGCCCCGGCUAACUUCGUGUCAGCAGCCGCGGUAAUUC